Molecule: long non-coding RNA, 2228 nt
Filed under: Rattus norvegicus (Norway rat)
Lineage: Eukaryota; Metazoa; Chordata; Mammalia; Rodentia; Muridae
Description: long non-coding RNA NONRATT027870
Source: RNAcentral
UCACUGUCGAGUGAGCGAAGGGAACAUCUUGACAUGCUUAGUCUUAGUAUUCUUAAAAGUUCACCCAAGAUUCCAACCUAAAAAAUUUUCCUUCCGAAUAUGGCACAAUUCUAGUUCAAUCAUGAGAUCCAGUAGAUCACUGCCCUUCGGGUUUUGCUGUAGUUUUCAGUAGCAAAUGGGAAAAACGGAAAUAUAUCUUCUCUCUUCAUAGUGGAGGGAACUGGGGAAUACAGGUGCAUUUAUAAUGUAAGACAAAGGAUAGCCUUAUUUACUUAAAACAAGGGAAUUAAAAUUUCAGGGGAAACCCAGCUGUGUCUACACACAAUCUUACCAACUUUAAAUACUCCAAGAAAAGUCAAAAAGAAAAAAAAAAAAAGGAUUCAGUCAGCCUCAUGUCUUGACUUUGCUUUUACCAUGUUCCUUUCACGAUUAACCCAACUCCAUUUUGCAUUUUUUCAAGCCAAUCAUAUUGGUCCUGUGGAGGCAGUCUUCAAAAAAAAAAAAAGUCUACAUUUUAAAAGUCCACUACGAUAGAUUUCUGAGAAAUUACCAGUUACCCUACUUGCUGAUACCAAAGAUAAUUCCAUACCAGCGUUAAAUUUGCACCCAUUAUACAAUUUCAGGUCCUAGAGAUAUAUUUUCUCAUAAGCAGAGGCACAAGGCAGAGCCGCAAAGCAAUUCUUCCUCCAAACUUUUGCUUCUUAGAAAUAGUAGCAGAUAGACUCCGCCUUCCAUAAGCAAUACCUUCUCACACCCUAGAGGAGCGACCCUUUCUUUGCUUUGGAACCAGCAUUCAGAGGACACACUUCCGUCCUUGUUUAUGUAGUGCUAACUGAUGGCUCCCGCCAUGACCUGCAGAGUAGGUCACAUGUCACUUGUCAUUUAUCAUUUCUCGGUCCUUUCAAACCAUUCACUCCAAGAGUUUAUUUCUUAUCGCUAUGCCCAUCACACAGUCAGGCUUCAAAUACUUCUCUUUGUUUCUUCCUUUUUAUUUUAUUUUUAUUUUACUUUUACACACACACACACAUACACACACACACACACACACACACACACACACACACACAUAUAUAUAUAUAUAUUAGAGUGGUUUUGGACGUAAGUCAUUCAGGUCCUCAGAUAACUGGAAGCUUUAGCAGAAAGCCAUCCAGAAUAAUGUUUGGAGGAGUCUAGAGAUUGUAAAACUCAGAUUUCAGUAACUGUCCAGAUAGAGGAAUUCUGGGUCCUGGGGACUAAGUCCCUGGGCACCUUGGGAAUUGAUUCCAAAAACCAAAGAAAAUGUAUGGGGAGAUCUACAAGUUCUGACAGAACUUGACACUCACCAUGCCCCUCAGUCCCUCAGAAAGACAUAAUUAUUUUUCCAGAACAACAUAAAAGUGCUCGCUAUAUUUGGACCCGCCCCACUCCCGUUGCUAACCCAGGUGAAGAACCCAUCUUUGCAGGUUAAAUGCAGCUUUGCUAAACCAAAGAGUCUAAGGACAUGUCCCCUAUGGUCCGUCCUCCCUCCUUUGUACAUACAGGAUGAAACUAUGCAUUCAGCAAACAAAGAGAAAGCACGUCUCCUUUUUCUAUCUGGUUGUUUAGGGCGCAUUCAAAUACCAGAGGCUGUUGGGGGAUGCACUUGGCCUUCUGGGUUACAACGGUGGUGUGGGUUUGCUUUACAAUGAAUUUGGUAACUAUUUCCCAAAUAGUGUGAACAAAGAAGCAAAGUGUGAACAAAGAAGGUAAGAAAUAGCUACUUCCAUGUGUUUAAAAAAAAUUAAAAAAAAAAAGGAAAAAAAAAAAAAAAAAGAAAAACAGAAAAAAAAGUGUAAAGAUCUACUAUUUAUAGUGCGAACCAAAGACUCUACCUCACUCAAUUUCCAUUGGUGAUUUUAAUCACAUUGAUAUACCAAAGAAUACCAAAGAUAUUUUCAUGCACGGCCAUGGUCUGCAGAGGGAACUCCACCCUUUCCCUUCCCCACCUUCUCCCUCCCUCGUCACUCAGUGUGUAAAGUUGUCUUCAUUCUUAAUAACAAUACGAUACCGAUAACAACGGCGUUAGGAACGCUGCUUCUUAUUACUGCUACUUCUUGUAAAUCUCUAGGCAAACACGUUGCAAAGUUUGUGAACUCCUAGGACGAGUGCCUUGCUUGAACCAAAGUGUUAAACCGCUGUUAACCUCUCUCACCUUAUACUCUUUGAAUACCUCAGCCUCUUAGAAAGGCCACUAAUGAAAAAAAAAAAAA